GAGCAAUUAACUUGCGCUUAAAUUUCGGGACGAAAUUUCUUUAAGGAGGGUGGAUUGUAAUACCCAAAAAAUUCAAGUUAAUUUCCAAUGACGUUUUGGAAAUGAUUUCGUGGUCGUGGACACGAGUACGAAGCUUGGAGGAGUGUGGAAUUAGUUCGAACGAUUUUAUUUUGAAAACUGAACGUUUUAGGGGGGUCAAAGGAGUUGACUUUUUAUACAUUGGGAAAUUGGGAAAACUUCCUUCAUGAAAGUUGUAGAGCGCGUCGAUACGAGUUCGUGGACAUAUGGAACGUAAUAUUCGGAGUUCGUAUGAAUAAGUUACGAAUAUUUGAAAAUUGGGAUUUUCUAUAAAUAUGAAAAAAAAUCCGAAUAUUGCAAAUGAGGACAGAAUUUCUGGAACUCCAGAAAUUUCUCCCCAUUUCUCUCCCGAGACCAGCCGCGACCCCCUCCCUUCGUCACCUUCGUUCUUCCUCAUCCGGCCACCGAUUGAUGUGAAACAAAGUGGGUUUUUCUGGUCUCGACCCCCUUUACGAGUUUGUAGAAGAAAUCGAAGUGAAAUACGAGCUGUAUGAGGCUCUACAAGGUCGAGAAGAGAGCCUCGUCGGAGACGAAAUCGCUCUUCCCCACUUUUUCUGGGCUCUACUUUGUCUGGCCAUAUCUUCCUCUACAGGCCUCCGAUCGACCUGAUUCCAAAAGCAAUUUUUCUCACCGUGAAGUUUUCUACAACUUUCCAGAAGACAUCGACUUGAGAUAACCAUCGUGGUGGCCGCUAGAAGACCGAGAAGCCGCACAACCGAGCUGGAAAUCGUCUUCCUUCGCCACCUUGGUUCUCCCAGCUCCGGCCACUAUAGCUCGAGUUCUUUGAGGGUUUUUCUAGCCCAGAGGAAGUAGAAGCUAUCCCCAAGAAGGCUUGCAGCGAUUUGAUCCGGGGUGAUCGAAUUUUGAAGAUUGGGAAACUAGGGUUCUUCGGGUUUCAAAACUUGCGAGGUGAUUGACGGUUUGAGUUGGUGGACGAUUGUGGAUCGUAUUUUGAGCUGAAUUGAAGACGCAGCGGGAUUAUCGAGCGGGUAAUCCUACAGGACAGGAGAACCAGGACGGUGAUCGUGCGGUUAGAGCAAUUGUUAGAGUUUUACAGCAAUUGUAAGUUGUGAGGUGUGUUAUGCUCAUUUAGAGCUUUACAAUAUUGCUUGUGAGAGUGAAUUGUAAUAAUGAACUCGAGGUUUCGAGAUUUGGAGUUUGUGUACCUUGUGGUGAGAUUAUAUUGAGAAAAAAAUUCAGAACGUUUAUUUGAUUAAGUGGUUUAAUUCAUGUUUCGGAUUUGAAUUUAUUAUUCAAAAUUCGGGGCGUGACAGUUUGGUAUCAGAGCGUAAGGUGCAUAUUUGGUGAUGUGUCAAUACCUUCCGAGUGAUGGCCCGUCUGCAGCGGAUCCCCAUCGUGUGCUCUUCGGUAUUGGCUAAGUCAUUGGGUAUGCGUGAGUGUUGGGAGUUGUUUAGGCCGCUAGGUCGUUUAGGGAACGUGAAUACCUUCCCUAUAGUAUUGACUUGGUUAAUAUGAAAUUGUAUUUGACUUAUACUGUGUUUUAAGUGUUAUACAUGUAUUAGCCAAGCAUACUAUACUCCUUAGGUGAUGGAUAUUCGAAGGGGUUGUACUUAGAACCUUACAGUUGUCUUGUAGGUUCGUAUGGGAAUAAGUUCAGUGGCCGCAAGUUACAAUCCUUGAGGAAUAGGAACCUCUUGAUUCAACUCUGUUAAGUCAACGAGGAUUGUUGUAUGGAAGUGAGGUUCUUUUGGAUGUUGAAGUGUUUGGUUGAAGGCAUGAUGUGGACCUAUGCACGUACCUAGUGUGGAUACGAGUAUUAAUGGAUAGAAAGUUUGCCUUCUUAAGUUGGACGUACAUAUGUUUUUGGAUGAGAUGUACAUGUCAAAUAAUAGAUAUCUUGUUUUGUAAUGAGAUGUCCUUGUAGAG
This is a long non-coding RNA of Rosa rugosa (rugosa rose), 1965 nucleotides long. RefSeq lists it as uncharacterized. The record is from RefSeq and is a predicted model, not a curated record. NCBI's taxonomy places the organism in Eukaryota, Viridiplantae, Streptophyta, Magnoliopsida, Rosales, Rosaceae. The transcript has 3 exons.